RNAcentral lists this ribosomal RNA (889 nucleotides) under Clostridium perfringens. RNAcentral's name for it is "bacterial LSU rRNA". It matches the Rfam family "Bacterial large subunit ribosomal RNA", at positions 351 to 1250 of the family's 2925-position model. Lineage: Bacteria; Bacillati; Bacillota; Clostridia; Eubacteriales; Clostridiaceae. The record is from RNAcentral.
CCCCCCGAAGCAGGUACUGGUCCUGUACCUGAACCGAGAAGACCUGGCUGCUGAUCCAGAGUACCACUCCCCACGUUCACUCCUGUGGGAAGCAUGGAGGACCUUCCCUUCCGGCCCCCUACUACCUGAUGACUGAUAGUGAUGCAGUACCUAGAGGGAAAGGUGAAAAGAACCCCGGGAGGGGAGUGAAAUACAACCUGGAACCGUGUGCCUACCACCGCUCAGAGCCCCUUAUCAGGGUGAUGAGGUGCUUUUUGUACAACGCGUCACCCAGUUACCGUCUGUAGCAAGGUUAACUACUUAAGGUACGGAGCCGAAGGGAAACCCAGUCUGAAUCGGGCGACUAGUUGCAUGCCGUACACCCCAAACCGGGUGACCAAUCCUUGCCCAGGUUGAAGCCAGGGUAAAACCUCGUGGAUGACCCAACCCCGUUGCUGUUGAAAAAGCAUGCGAUGAGCUGUCGAUAGUGGAGAAAUUCCAAUCGAUCCCGGAGAUAGCUGGUUCUCUCCAAAAUAACUUCAUGGCUCGCGUCGAGUAUGAGUAGUGGAAGUAGAGCCUGAAUGGGCUAGCGGGCAUAGACGCUUGCCUAACCUUUUCAAAUUACAAAUGCCACAUACUUCGAACUCGGCUGUCUGAGUCCGAAUGAUUAGAUCCGUGGUCAAAAGGGAAACAGCCCAGAUCGUCUGCUAAAGUCCCUCCUCGUAAGUCCACUGGGAAAGGAUGAGAGAUGUGUAAAACACCAGGAUGUCGGCUUAGAAGAGCCAUGCAUUGACAGAGUGCGUAGUAGGUCACAGGCUUAGAGAUCUUGCACCGAAAUGUACGAGUCUAGACUUACAUCGAAGCUAUGGACUUAACACAGCUCAGCAGUAUGACAGCGACUACAGGGCUG